Leptinotarsa decemlineata (Colorado potato beetle) is the source of this 110-nucleotide long non-coding RNA. The record is from RefSeq and is a predicted model, not a curated record. NCBI's taxonomy places the organism in Eukaryota, Metazoa, Arthropoda, Insecta, Coleoptera, Chrysomelidae.
AAUUGAUAUUAUGAAAGGCAUCUAUACCAAGUUUUCUUGUGAGGAAAUAGCUUUCUAUAUAGUUAUUAUUUUUAUGGUACAAAAAUAAUCAUCGCACCAUUCCUCAAAAU